AAUUCGAAGAAGAAAGAGAAAUCAAAGAAGUAUGGCAGAGUUCUUGAACCAGAUGAGCCUUUCAAGCUGUUCCUAAGAGAUCGGGAGACGACGGAAUUCCUGACAGCAAAAGAGGAGAGACAUUUGUUCAGUAAAAUACAGGCAAAGCCUUACUUUUACCCUGUCAUCUUUAUUUUCAGAACUGCUCAGGUGAACAUUAAUUAAUUCAGCAUCUCUGAUUCAAAGAUGUGAUGAUCCCAUCAGAUUCUUAUGAAAAUAGAGGAGGCUCACCGGAAACUAGAAGUUCAAUGCGGCCGUGAGCCGACAUUGGCAGAGUGGGCUGAGGCUGUAGGGAUGAGCAGCAAGGAGCUGCAGUCCUCUAUUCGCACCG
RNAcentral lists this long non-coding RNA (370 nucleotides) under Oryza sativa (Asian cultivated rice). Its description in RNAcentral is "long non-coding RNA (OSAT_LNC001479)". The record is from RNAcentral. Lineage: Eukaryota; Viridiplantae; Streptophyta; Magnoliopsida; Poales; Poaceae.